Molecule: RNA transcript, 2745 nt
Organism: Numida meleagris (helmeted guineafowl)
Lineage: Eukaryota; Metazoa; Chordata; Aves; Galliformes; Numididae
Gene name: deleted in malignant brain tumors 1 protein-like
Exons: 8
Source: RefSeq, a predicted model, not a curated record
GGGGCUGUGGGACACGAUGGUGCCUGCCAGGGUGCUGGGGCUGCUCCUCUGCAUGCAGUUCUGCAUGGGCAGCGAGGUGCUGCGGCUGGUGGAUGGCGGUGGGCGCUGUGCCGGUCGGGUGGAGGUGAAGCACGAGGGAGAAUGGGGCUCCGUCUGCACCUACGACAUCCAGUGGGACUCACAAGGGGCUGGCGUGGUGUGCCGGCAGCUGGGCUGUGGCACGGUGGCCCAUACGUCCCCAUAUGCCCCAUUUGGUCAGGGCAAGGGACGCAUCUGGCUGCAUCCCUUCUUCUGCCUUGGCACUGAGGCCACCCUGCAGGACUGCCCCAACUUUGGCUGGGGCAAGCACUUCUGUGGUCACGAGUGGGACGUGGGAGUGAUCUGCACAGAGGCACUGGAGCUGCGGCUGGUGGACGGCAGGAGACCCUGCGAGGGGAGAGUGGAGAUGAAACUGCGGGGACGCUGGGGCACAGUUGCUGACCGUGCCUGGAAUAUGAAUGAUGCUGAGGUGGUGUGCCAGCAGCUGGGCUGUGGCUCGGCAGCUCACACCAAGUUUACCUGGCAAAUUUCGCAAGUCCACAGUGCCCUAAUGUUGGCCAUUGUCAAUUGCACUGGGAAUGAGAAAGCCAUCUGGGACUGCAGCAUUAAGGGUUGGGGUCCCUACCAUGUCCCUCGUGAUUAUAACGCCACUGUGGUCUGCCAAGGGUUCUCCCGGCUGGCCGGAGGGGACAGCGCCUGCUCGGGGCGGCUGGAGGUGCGGCAGGGCCGCGCCUGGGUCAGCGUCUGCCAUGGCCACGUGGACCUCAUGGCCGCCCAGGUCGUCUGCAGGGAGCUGGGCUGCGGUACAGCACUGGCCCUACCCGGGGCUGGGCAUUUUGGAGCAGCAGCGGGGCCAUUCUGGGAUGGCACCUUUGAGUGCAAUGGAACUGAGCUCCUCCUCUCUGCUUGCAAGCGGGGGCCUCCCCACAUCAAGAACUGCACCCAACCUGCUGCCAUCAUCUGCUCUCGUAAGCACUGGUGCUGUGGGGGUGCAUCUGCCCCAUGCAGUGUGGUGUCCCCAGGGGUCCCUCGCUCCUCCAACCCCAGCACUCUCUCUCUGCUGCAGCCUACACUGGGUUCCGGCUGGCAGAUGGAGACUCAAACUGCACUGGGCGGGUAGAGGUGGAGGCACGAGGGGUUUGGAGGCCCCUGUGUGCCACUGCCUGGGACCUGCCUGAUGCCCACGUCCUCUGCCGCCACCUGGGCUGUGGUUCCACUGUCUCCCUGCCCCCACCAGGCCAUUUUGGGAUGGGGACAGGGACACUGCAGCGUGAUGCCCUCAGCUGCAGCGGGAGUGAGCAGCACCCAGGCGAGUGCCCCGUGGAGGUGCUGGGGCAGCCUGCCUGCCCCCCCAGACACACCGCUGCCGUCAGCUGCUCAGGUGUCACUGAACCCCUGCGGCUCCACGGUGGGGAGAGUCGGUGCGACGGACGGCUGGAGGUGGCCAUGAGCCCCGGUGUCUGGGCCCGCGUGUCUGUGGGGCUGUGGCACAAUGGCACUGCCACCGUGGCGUGCCGGCAGCUGGACUGUGGUGUGCCUGAGAAAAUAUAUGCUGCGCCGGCCACCAACUCGGGCCCCAUGGAGCUGCAGGAGCUGCAAUGUAUUGGCACGGAGGAGCUCCUGACACAGUGUAAUGCCUCAGGGAUGGUCACCGAGCCCAGCCACAGCCAUGAGGAGUUGUCCAUUGUUUGCUCAGGCAGCCGGCAGCUGAGGCUGACAGGAGGCCCUGGGCGCUGCGCCGGCAGGGUGGAGGUGUACAGCGAGGGCACCUGGGGCACCGUCUGCCAGGACACCUGGACCCUGCUGGAUGCCACCGUCGUCUGCCGCCAGCUGGGCUGCGGAUGGGCUCUGGAGGCAGCUGGCUCCGAGCACUUUGGGCCUGGCACUGGGACACUAUGGUCAGGUGCUGGGGGCUGCUCCGGGAUGGAGGAUGCUCUCUGGCACUGCCCAGCCCCAGUGCAGCGUGGCUGCCAGCUUGGUGGAGGUGCGGGUGCCGUGUGCUCAGGGCUGCUGGACCUGCGGCUGACGGGGGAAAGCAGCAGAUGCAGAGGGUACCUGGAAGUGCUGCAUGAGGGAACAUGGGGUCGUGUUUGCGCCAAUGGCACCAGCUCUGCCACAGCCAGUGCCGUCUGCCGCCAGCUGGGAUGCGGCACUGGGGGGAGGCUGGCAUUUGUCCAAGCACAGGGCUCAGAUCCUGCCUGGCUGAGCUGGGUGAGUUGUGAGGAGGGGGCCCGCUCGCUCUGGCGCUGCCCCUCAGCGCCCUGGCAGCUGCAGGAAUGCGACCCCACUGGAAUCACGCACAUCAUAUGCGAAGAGGACACCAGCGACAGGAGUGAGGCCACCAGCCCAACCCCAGGUAUCAGCUGCCACGACAGAGACACCUCACCAAAUGGCUCUGUCCAUGCUCACUGUCCUCUAACCGCUGCCAUGGGAUCCCCACGAUGCCUCACGCUUCCCAUCACUGCCCCACAGUUCUCACCCACAGCGCUGCCCCACUCACAGCAGCAACAAGGAGCGUGUCCGCACUCACAGUCCUGUGCGUGAUCCUGGGGAUGCUGCUGUGCCUGGCCCUGGCCGCCCUGGCUGUGCAGACACACCGCACACAGGCCCAGUGCCAAGGCCCCAGCAAGGAUGCUGCCUCCGAGGUUGUGUAUGAGGAGCUUGACUACAGCCUGAUGCCCGAGUACCAGGAGGUGCCCAGCCACA